CGUAGUUGGAUUUCUGAUAGUAGCGUUGGGCCCGCCCGGGUUACCGGUGUGAGUGCCUGUUCGCUCCUUUCAUCCUUCUAGAGAACGGUUCUCUCCUUCAUUGGCAGUGGGAUCGCAAUCUAGAUCUUUUACUUUGAAAAAAUUAGAGUGUUUAAAGCAGGCUUGUGCUAUGAAUACAUUAGCAUGGAAUAAUAAUUUAGGACUUUAGUUCUAUUUUGUUGGUUUCUAGAACUGAAGUAAUGA
RNAcentral lists this ribosomal RNA (243 nucleotides) under uncultured eukaryote. Its description in RNAcentral is "partial 18S ribosomal RNA". It matches the Rfam family "Eukaryotic small subunit ribosomal RNA", at positions 629 to 868 of the family's 1831-position model. The record is from RNAcentral.